UGCAUUUAUUAUUUCUAACUGCAUGCAUACU
This 31-nucleotide non-coding RNA is filed under the name Rattus norvegicus (Norway rat). Lineage: Eukaryota; Metazoa; Chordata; Mammalia; Rodentia; Muridae. The record is from RNAcentral.